This 468-nucleotide ribosomal RNA is filed under the name uncultured bacterium. RNAcentral's name for it is "partial 16S ribosomal RNA". It matches the Rfam family "Bacterial small subunit ribosomal RNA", at positions 28 to 507 of the family's 1533-position model. The record is from RNAcentral.
GACGAACGCUGGCGGCGUGCUUAACACAUGCAAGUCGAACGGAAAGGCCCUGCUUUUGUGGGGUGCUCGAGUGGCGAACGGGUGAGUAACACGUGAGUAACCUGCCCUUGACUUUGGGAUAACUUCAGGAAACUGGGGCUAAUACCGGAUAGGAGCUCCUGCUGCAUGGUGGGGGUUGGAAAGUUUCGGCGGUUGGGGCUGGACUCGCGGCUUAUCAGCUUGUUGGUGGGGUAGGGGCUUACCAAGGCUUUGACGGGUAGCCGGCCUGAGAGGGUGACCGGCCACAUUGGGACUGAGAUACGGCCCAGACUCCUACGGGAGGCAGCAGUGGGGAAUAUUGCACAAUGGGCGGAAGCCUGAUGCAGCAACGCCGCGUGCGGGAUGACGGCCUUCGGGUUGUAAACCGCUUUCGCCUGUGACGAAGCGUGAGUGACGGUAAUGGGUAAAGAAGCACCGGCUAACUACGUG